AAUUUCCUGACAUCGCAACUUUGGCUAACAGUUAUUCAUAUCUGUGUAACCACAUAUCUGGUUAGGAGCUCUGACUCCUUGGAACUCUCAGCCAGAGUCCAUCCAGCAUGCAUGUGAAAGGAAUCAUACUUAACUCCCACCAUCA
RNAcentral lists this long non-coding RNA (145 nucleotides) under Chinchilla lanigera (long-tailed chinchilla). Its description in RNAcentral is "lncRNA (ENSCLAG00000028624.1)". The record is from RNAcentral. Lineage: Eukaryota; Metazoa; Chordata; Mammalia; Rodentia; Chinchillidae.